GAUUAGAGCUGUAAUGUGGUGUGGUGAAAAGAAGGGGAUUUGGGAUUAUAUGAUUUUAGAGUGAGGGUGACUGUUUUUGAACAAAGUCAUAGUUUCUUUUCAUGUAUGGUGCAGUUUAUGAGCAUGAUGUUGUAGCUUGAACUACACGAGACAAUUCUUAUUACUAGUGAUUGCAGAUCAGCCAUCAUAGCUCACAGUCGAGUGUUCACACCAAAACAAAUCAAGAAGUUUGCAUUGAAAAAUUGGUCUACACUAAUUAAAAACUUAUACUAAACUAAAGUCGUGGCUUCCACACAAAGCUGAUGAAGUACUGCCAUACUGGCUAUAGGUCUAAUCAUAAUGACCAUUA
RNAcentral lists this long non-coding RNA (349 nucleotides) under Physcomitrium patens. Its description in RNAcentral is "long non-coding RNA (PPAT_LNC000245)". Lineage: Eukaryota; Viridiplantae; Streptophyta; Bryopsida; Funariales; Funariaceae. The record is from RNAcentral.